This 458-nucleotide unclassified non-coding RNA is filed under the name Hevea brasiliensis (rubber tree). The record is from RNAcentral. Lineage: Eukaryota; Viridiplantae; Streptophyta; Magnoliopsida; Malpighiales; Euphorbiaceae.
GAGGUUAGGAAAUAUGACAAACAAAGAAGAGAAUGGUUUACAGUUGGGAGGUUGCCUGAAAGAGCAGUUUCAACUAAUGGUUGGGGGCUUGCAUUUAGAGCGUGCGGCGAUAGGCUUAUUGUUAUUGGUGGACCAAGGGCCAUGGGGGAAGGUUUUAUAGAGCUUAAUUCAUGGGUUCCAAGUGAAGGCCCUCCAAGGUGGGAUUUGCUUGCAAGGAAACCAUCUGCAAAUUUUGUGUAUAACUGUGCUGUGAUGGGAUGCUGAAACUUAAAAAAACCAAAGUGUUCUCUGCUAUGCUCUCCAUUGAUGGUGUCUCCCACUUCAACUUCUAGAUGAAUUGCUCAAGAUGGGUUUGUUUUCUUUCUUCUACACAUGAUUUUAGCUGAUGAGUUAUUUCCCAUACUCUCUUCAGAUAUUUUCAACCACUGCGCAGGGAGGCGUGGGGAGGAAUUGAUUUU